CGCUGGCGGCGUGCCUAACACAUAGCAAGUCGAACGAAUCAUCUUUGUAGCAAUAUAGAAGAUGGUGAGUGGCGCACGGGUGAGUAAUACAUAGAUGAUCUGCCUUUCAGACUGGGACAACUCAGGGAAACUUGAGCUAAUACCAGAUAAGACCACAUGAAGGGAUUCACGUGACCAAAGGGUGAGCAAUCUCCUGCUGGAAGAUGAGUCUAUGUCCUAUCAGUUAGUUGGUGGGGUAAAGGCCUACCAAGACGAAGACGGGUAGCCGGCCUGAGAGGGUGAACGGCCACACUGGAACUGAGACACGGUCCAGACUCCUACGGGAGGCAGCAGUGAGGAAUUUUCCGCAAUGGGCGAAAGCCUGACGGAGCGACGCCGCGUGAGGGAUGAAGGUUUUCGGAUCGUAAACCUCUUUUAUCAAGGAAAAAGGCUUUAAUGCGAAUAACAUUAAAGUUUGAUUGUACUUAAUGAAUAAGCCCCGGCUAACUACGUGCCAGCCGCUGC
RNAcentral lists this ribosomal RNA (504 nucleotides) under uncultured bacterium. Its description in RNAcentral is "bacterial SSU rRNA". It matches the Rfam family "Bacterial small subunit ribosomal RNA", at positions 34 to 518 of the family's 1533-position model. The record is from RNAcentral.